CGGACCCUGAGGCCUCGUGGUCAUUUUUCCUUUUCUUUUUCUUUGGGGGGCGAGCUCGAGGGAAGACGAAGCCGGCCCUCUCCUUGUCGAUGCCGGCCUGGAUCUUGGCGCAGAGCUCCGCCCUCUCGUGCAAGAAACCUUCGACGUCGCUCCUCGCCUCCGCUAGCUGCUUCCCGAAGCUCAUCCGCGUCUCCACCUUCCUCGCCUGAUCCCUGAUCCCCUUGUUUAUGUCCCUCAGCUGCAUAUUUAUAUACAUGCAAUCACAAAUUAACAACAUCAAUUCAAUUUGUAAUCACAUGUUGGUGCUUAAUUAAAUUAUGUUAUAUUGGUGCUUAGCUGCUUAAUUAUACUCAGUAUGAUGUACUGUAUAUUUUAGUUGCUUACACGGC
This 389-nucleotide long non-coding RNA is filed under the name Brachypodium distachyon (stiff brome). RNAcentral's name for it is "long non-coding RNA (BDIS_LNC004984)". Lineage: Eukaryota; Viridiplantae; Streptophyta; Magnoliopsida; Poales; Poaceae. The record is from RNAcentral.